GAAAUGCGAUACGUAGUGUGAAUUGCAGAAAACCGUGAACCAUCGAAUCUUUGAACGCAUAUUGCGCUGGAGGCUUCGGCCAACAGCAUGUCUGCCUCAGCGUCGGGUUAAUUCUCGCCCAUCAUCUUCCCUGUGUUGAUGAUUUGGGCGGAUCUGGCUUUCUCAGCUCUCACGAGCUGGGUUUGCUGAAGUACAGAGGUUAAUGCAUGGACCCGUUAAGGGCUGCAGCUGGUUAGGCAGUGAUGCUAUCGAUUAGCUGUUGGUCUGGGAACUGCGUUUGACCCUCCACAAGGAAACUUAAUUAUUUCCUCGACCUGAAAUCAAGCA
This 327-nucleotide ribosomal RNA is filed under the name uncultured alga. Its description in RNAcentral is "eukaryotic LSU rRNA". The stretch from base 1 to 105 matches the Rfam family "5.8S ribosomal RNA", at positions 50 to 154 of the family's 154-position model. The record is from RNAcentral.